This 177-nucleotide small RNA is filed under the name Gopherus agassizii (Agassiz's desert tortoise). RNAcentral describes it as "TUC338 (ENSGAGG00000021568.1)". The record is from RNAcentral. Lineage: Eukaryota; Metazoa; Chordata; Testudines; Testudinidae.
UUGACAACUUUGGAGACUGAAGUCCUCUCAUCAGCCACAGAACAUGUACAGUACAGCUGCGGCAAUACCAGUUUCUCCACACGGUGCCCAACAGAUGUGCUUCUGCCCUGAUCUGAAGGGACCGUCUCAAGAGAUAAAAGGAAGUUCGGUGCCCUUGGCUUCUCUGCUGAGACUGCC